This 272-nucleotide ribosomal RNA is filed under the name uncultured Bifidobacteriales bacterium. RNAcentral describes it as "partial 16S ribosomal RNA". It matches the Rfam family "Bacterial small subunit ribosomal RNA", at positions 504 to 775 of the family's 1533-position model. The record is from RNAcentral. Lineage: Bacteria; Bacillati; Actinomycetota; Actinomycetes; Bifidobacteriales.
UGUGCCAGCAGCCGCGGUAAUACGUAGGGCGCAGGCGUUAUCCGGAUUUAUUGGGCGUAAAGGGCUCGUAGGCGGCUCGUCGCGUCCGGUGUGAAAGUCCAUCGCUUAACGGUGGAUCUGCGCCGGGUACGGGCGGGCUGGAGUGCGGUAGGGGAGACUGGAAUUCCCGGUGUAACGGUGGAAUGUGUAGAUAUCGGGAAGAACACCGAUGGCGAAGGCAGGUCUCUGGGCCGUCACUGACGCUGAGGAGCGAAAGCGUGGGGAGUGAACAG